This is a long non-coding RNA of Mastomys coucha (southern multimammate mouse), 2704 nucleotides long. RefSeq lists it as uncharacterized. The record is from RefSeq and is a predicted model, not a curated record. The transcript has 5 exons. Lineage: Eukaryota; Metazoa; Chordata; Mammalia; Rodentia; Muridae.
GCAGCACUAGUGUUCCAGAGAACAGCCUUUGUAAGAUGUUGCUGCACCGGGCGCUGGGGCGCUGCUCUAGCCUCCUUCGCUGCAGAUAUUUUUAGAAACUGUGCUUUUGAAGUCACCACGAAGAGACAGUCUGCUUUACCCCCUGGAAUGCAUGACUUAGAAUUCUCAUUCUCAGCUGAUUGCCAGAAACCAGUUCACACCAGUGAGAAAAUUCUGAGAUGCUGACACAAAAUGCUGGUGUAAGUGAACAGAAGGAUGUGUUACCAACCAUCCAAAUAGUCCUGAAGAAAGAAUGAGUUGAGCCAAAUACAUCAACAUCAUCCUUAGAACAUCCAUGGGAGUGUCCUGCGUGUCAACCCUAGAAGAGGAAUUCAGCUGGCCUGAGUAUGUUGAAUUCAAGAAGGAAUCUGGAGACAAACACUACAUUAACUUUUACUGAAGGAAUGUUCAUUAGAAGAUGCUCCAUACCAGGUCUCUGGAUUUCUGUGUAUUUCAUAAGCAGAGGCUCUCCUCAGAUGCAUAAAUCAAGGUCAGCAAACUGAGCUGUGAGUCAUAGCUACCUCUCCCCAUUAUUCUGUAAAUAAAAGUGGCUUUUGUUUGUUUGUUCAUUUUAAUGUGGCUCCUGUCAUAUUUCUCCAUAUUGUCUAUGGCUGCAUUAGUCCUGUACCUGUAGGGUACUGUAACUGCCAUAGGGACAAAACAGCCUGGAAUCUAAAAUAUUUACUUCCUUUCUGUGUGAGAAAAUAGUCCCUUCCUUUCUGAAAGCAGAAAGUACUGGUGUAUUAUUUCUGAAAGCAGAAAGUACAGGAAAGAACAUUUGACUAAGUGAAAGAAGCCAUUGUCAAAGGACCCGACAUCACAAUUCCCUUUAUAUAUGUAUGGGGUGGGCAAAUCUAUGGAGACAGGAUGUUAAUGAUGGCUUCUAGACUGGGGCUUGAAAAAAUGUGAGUGACUAUCACUUGACCUGGUGGGCUUUGUUGGUGGUGGAUGUUGGUUUGUUUUUAAUGAAAUGGUCUCAAGGUUGAACAUUGGUAAAAAAAAAAAAAUUUGGAAAAUUCUGUGACUACACCCCAACAACUGACUUGCAUCUUUUAAGUUGGUGAAUUUGAGAGAUGAAGUAUAUCUUAAGUUUUAUCUUGAGACAAAGUGUGAGGAGUUGCUAUCUUCUAAUUGAGAAUCAUGAAGUCAGAGUCCCAAAAUGUAGAGCAACUUUAUCUUAUUAGUUAUGUGCUUGUAUCAGAAGUGAUCAAGGGUGAGCUCUGCAUGUGACAUGGACCACUCUGUUCACCUGUGACUUGACAUGGUGGCAAUAAAGACUGGGAUCAUCUACACCUGCCAGCUGGAGGACAUCCAUGUGAUGUAACAAUGUAGCAACUCCAGGGCAGGGAACUUAUGAUACAUAAUUUCAAGGGAGAAAGCAGCAGCCACAGCAGCAGCAGCAGAAAGAGGAGGCUCUUUUAUACCCAUUCCUUGUGCUUCUCACAUCUCUCCCACUCAGUGGGAGGAGAUGCAGAGACUUUCAACAGCCACCCAUUUCCCAUACUCUGUGUCAUGUCCAUAACACAGCUCCUCAUAAGUCAAGGCAACAAGAACUGAAUCUAGCCAAAGAAUUGAUGCAUUUAAAGUUGCAUGGGAAUUAGUUAUAUUAAUUUCUCUUUGCAUUUUACCAUGUAACUUCAUUCUUACAGCCUAUGAAGCUGGAAUUUGCAAUCCUCCCCUUUUUAUUUCGCAGAAGGGUCAGAUGACCCAAGCAAAUCAUUCUUAAAAACAGCAGCAGCAGCAAAACCCAACCUUAGUUUAUGCAUAUGAGUGCUUUCCCUAUAUAGAUGUAUAUGCAUCACAGGCAUGGCUGGUGCCCUUAGAGGUGAGAAGAGGCCACUGGGUCCCCUGGAACUGGAGUUAUAGAUAGUUGUGAGGCACCCUCUGGAUUCUGGGAACUGAACCCAUCAAGUGCUCUUAACUGCUGAACCAUCUCUCUCUCCAGCCAAGCAAGUUGUCAUUCUUAUCGCCUUUAUAGAGCAGCCAAAAGAAAUCUGCUGUUUUCUUUCAUGGGAAAUAGUUCUUCUAAACACAGAAAGGAUUUUAGCUGCAUAUGUGGGUAAUUGGAGCAAUCUGAAAUAGAAACUGACAGCUAUAUGCUGUCUUCUAUUUUCUCUUCAAAUAGAAAUACAAUUGGUGUUUAUAACUUUUUGAAGAUUUUAUUAUUGUGUGUUUACACUUGUGUCUGUGAUUGUAUGUGUCCUUGGAAGCCAAAAGAUUAUGUCAGAUGAAUGGGAGUUGCAGUUACAGGCAAUUGUGAACUGUCCAUGGACUCUGGUAAUCUACAUCCCCUGCAAGAGCAGCAAGUGCUUUUAACCACUGGGCCAUCUCUCCAGCCCAUGUGUUUACUUCUUUAAGUUAUAUUUACUCCAGAUGUGUGGGAAAGCCCACACUGUGGAGGAAUUUUUAAAACUGUGUUCUUUGCCAGAUCCAAGUGGGUGGUUGUACCAAGAAAUGUAAUGAAAUGUAGAGCAAACUUUUAUUGCUCUUCCUGUGCCAAACAGAUGUGAGAAGAUGUGAAAUAAAUGCAAGGUCUCCUUGAAGGGCUAAGGUAGGACGUCCCAGAACAAACUGCUUGUCACUCUAAGCCAUGUGCAAACAGUUCAGAAGCAGAGUCAAGAAGGAGUUUUUGAAGGUUAGAAAUGAGAAAGACCACGACUGUCCA